RNAcentral lists this long non-coding RNA (4318 nucleotides) under Homo sapiens (human). Its description in RNAcentral is "non-protein coding lnc-PSMA8-5:3". Lineage: Eukaryota; Metazoa; Chordata; Mammalia; Primates; Hominidae. The record is from RNAcentral.
GCAGCUGCGUUAUUAGAGCUCCACGGCGGAUCUCGGGGCUCUUCUGCUCGCUUUUUUUCCUCUUCAGAAAUUAAAGCAGAGGAGCAUCUGAAAGUGGAAAGGUCCCCCUUCUGGUAGGAUGGAUGUAAAAGGAGGCAACAAUUUGUUCUUGAGGGGGCAAAAAAAAAAAAAAAAAAAAAGAAAAAGAAAAAGAAAAAGAAAGGAGGGGGGAAAUUCAUUGCUUGGCUUUUGCAUUGUCGGACUUUAAAAAAGUGUGUCUGCUGUUGUUGCCCGGACUCGGGAAAUCUUUUUUAUGGCAACCGCAGACCUGCCAAGUCUCUCUUACUUGGAAUCUUUAUAAAGGCAAGUUAUUUGGACUUUUUUUUUAUUUUCUCGUUUAGAGAAAGUCAUUGAUGCUGACGAAUGUCAUAAUGUGAUUCAAAAGAGACAGCUUUGAGUUCACUUUUUUAACAUUCUCAAAUUGACAUAGAUCUUUGUCCAGAAAAUAAAGCUUUCUGUUGAUUUUUUCUUUAAGCAAGAGGUAAGGAAAUAUGCACUUAAGAAUAUGUGUACAAGAAAAUAGUUUCUAAAAUAAAUUGAAAUGUCUGCAGGUCGGUGGGAAUUUUUGUUUCUUUUCGCAGUUUUGUUUUCUAACUUUUCACCUGCUCCCAUCGCAAAACAAGAAACCAUCACCUGUUUCCUUCUUUUACCUUAUCUUAAGGGAAAGGAUGUUUUAGUAUUAUUAUUGUUGUUGCUAUUUAUUGAUUGGACACGCUUGUCAAGUUAUAAAUGCCUGAGAGGGCUACCAAGUAGAGCUUAGAUUCACAAGUCUUGGUGGAAAUUAAGAGAUUCAGAAUACGGUUAAUUACACAAAACAGGCAGAAUUUUGUACAAAUACUAUUGUUCUUAAUCAGAUUUUAAAAAUUCUCCGUUCUGUAAAAUUAAGGUACAGCUAUCUAUUAAGCCACCAUGCAAAGACAUCAAAGCUUUAAGGAAGUUGUAUUUUUUCCAGUCUAACCUGUAAACUGCCUGGACCCUCAUGUGGAUAGCUGCAAAUACAGUAUGUUUUUUUUCAAUAUCUUCAUUAUAAUUAAAUGAGUUUUCAAUCCAUCUGCAGUAAUUCCUAAAGUGAAAUCAUAGUUGUAGUCAAAUUUAACUUUGCAUGACUGUGAAAUAAAGCAACUUUUGUUGCAGAAUCUGUGUUGGUACAUUAAGGAUUCUAGAUUUUAUACAUAACCUUAUACAUUCAUUUUCACAGAAAUCAUUCAGAAAGGGAAAAAUGUGUAAACACCAAGUUUUUACAAGACUUUCCUUUCGUGUGGUAGCCAUAUGUGUGCAGAAUACUAUGGUGCCAUGUAUGUGUGGUCCCAAGUUAUGUGUGAUAUUAUCUAAAAUAUUGAUGGCAUCUAAUCCUGGUUUUAUUGGAAAGUGAAAAAUUGCUAACGUAAUACUAACGCGUACCCUAAUUUGUUAAAGUUUUCUAUAUGGGUUGAUUUUUUUUGUUUCUUUCUCAAAGUAGUCUACUUUGCUUUACUCUAAAAUUGUUCUUUCAUUUCCCAAUGUUAGUAUUUCUGUUGCCUUCCUCUAUUAAGAGAUAAAUAAAACCCUUAGCUCAGAGAUUUAGAUCUGGCUCAAGAGCCUGAUAUUUCAGUUUGGGAUAGUACUGCAUAGCAUUUUAAGGGAGGUUAAAGCACCAACCACCCAAAAGACAAACAUAAAAACUAUUUUAACCUAAAUCUGUCAAAUAUUGACCUAUACAGAUAGGUAAAAUGCUUUUGAAACGUAUCUUUAAAUACUUUAAUUUCCUCCCCCCAAGUUACCAAGGGGGGGAAGAUCAUUGAUUAUGUUUCUAAACAUAAACCCCAACAUCCACCCAUGAAGCCAAAGCCAUCAUCUCUGAGCAGAAUGCAGCAACUUUGUGAAUAUUUGGAUGCUGUUGUUGAUGAUGGGGUAAUAAUGCAUAAAGAACCAUGUGCAAGGAAUUUUACUAAAGACAAGACAAAUAUUUUCUUAGGUCUCAUUAAGGGGUCUUGAAGUCCAAGAUAAAACAUCACCCAUUCUACCUUUUGGAGGGACAGAUCUGGUAGGCAAAACUCCCACUGAUUUCAGCAUCCCUUACCACCGUAUUCCAUGUGAAUUAAUCAAUUAUGUGGAAUUGGUGAGCACUUGGAUUUCAUUAAACACUGCUGAGUAGCCUCGCAAUUACUUUCCAUGCUUCGUAUAUAAACAGACACCAAAAAUGUAAACUGUCCAAUUCACCUGAUAGAGGCUACACAGAUGCUAAAGAAGGAAAACUAAGAUUUGUCUUUCUUUGGACGAUGCGAAAAAGCAUAAUUAGCCACUGCAGAAAGGUAAACAUGCCUAACUGAUAAACAUUUUUUCAUGCUUAACAAAAUUCAUUUUGGGAAUAGUAAACUACUAUAUAUUCAGUUAUUUAUCCCCCAACUUUUAAAUGUAUUAUUCUCAUUCUUAAAACUGGAAACCAGCUACAAUGAGAACGUCAUUCAUUUUCAUUCAACAGUUUUUUGAACAUCAUCAUCCAACAAAUUGUGCUGUCCUCCAAAUAACCUAUUUAACAUCUCCUGAAUAACCAGCAAAAACAUAUAAAGCUUAUAAAUUUUAGGUAUUAUUUACAAAUAACCUGAAUAGUAGUAUAAAGUUUAAAAUGAGACAGACCCUUCAUUACCGAGUUCUAUUAAGAACUUAAGUAGCUACAUAAUUAAACUUUCCAUUUCGUAUUAACAUAUGAUUGAUUUAACUUCUGGCUCUUUUCAUGCAUUGACUCCACAGCACCUACUUUUAAGAUAUUUUGCACUUUUCAGAAUGUCUUGCAUUGGUGAAACAAACAAUAUCUGGAACUGAGACUCUUACUUGAAAAAAAGAUUAACGUUUUUUCAACUGUUAAUUCCAACAAUAAAGAUAUUGCUAAAGGAGGGAUUAAUGUUAAAGGAAACCUGUGUCCAUGAAACUUGACCUCAAAGGAAUUAAUUACAGAAAACACAUUAGGUACCAGUUCAAGUAAAUCUCCAAUUUUAAAAUGUCAGUUGCAAAGCAUAAAUUGUCUUUGAUAAGUUAUAAGUAAUAGUGUCAAAGUUGCAAUCUGGCAUCUAAACCAAUUACAAAGAGAAUACUCUGCUCAUAAUUUUAUAUAAAUAUCCUUAGCACAUGUCUACUUAUCUGUACAACAAUUUCAUGUAAUAUUUUAAGAUUUUCAAGACCGAUUUCGGAUUUUUUUUAAUAUUGAAAGUUAGUUCAAAUCUAGUGUAUUACCUGCCUGAGUAAUAUGACUGUAUCAGUCAUAUUACUCCACAGAAGCUUUCUUUUAAAGGAGGAGCAUUUUUAACAAGAGUUAAAUUAAAAGUCCUAUGAAAGGGCAGUUUAAUCAAAGUCCAUCUGAAUCUAAUGUGUGUGUCUGUGUCUGUGUGUUUAAAAUAUAAAAUAUAUGUGUGUGUUAUAUAUGUAUAUACAUCCACGUAUAUACAUAUUAACACAUUAUUGUUAGAACAACAUAUAAGGGACUUUUAAAUUAACAUUUGUGCAAAGUAUUAGUGAUGCAUUUGGAAAGGCAAUAUUUUUAGUCCACAAAAACUAUACUCAGUUCCCAGUUCCUUUAAUUGUCCACCAUCUAAUUCUCAGUAAGUUACUUAAUAUCCAUCCUGCAUACUCAUAACCACACUCUACCUCUUAAUCUAUGAAAUGGGUAGCAAUGUUUGAAUGCAAAAGCAUUUAAGAACGUCACAUGGAAAAAUCCACAUUAAAUAUAUAAAUAUGGCAAAUGUAUUUUGUCAUUAUGAAUAACAAAUUCUAUUUUCAAUCUUUUUUUAGUCUUAUUUACUUGACUUCUUUUCUUUCAUAAAAUCUGAGUCAUUAAACCCCUUUAAAAAAAAUUCUGAUACAGAUGCGUUGAGGACUUUUCUACUUGGUGGUGGACUAUAUCCAAAAAGGUAAAGUUUUUUAAAUGCACACUAUACAUUAUUCAUUUAUUUUAUAAUACACGAAUUCAUUGAAAUUUAAAGAUUUAAUUUCAACAUGUAUAGAAACGUUUAAAACUAGAGGUUUCACAUUGUCAUCUUUUCUUACUGAGGCUUUCAUAACCACUGCAAAGGUCCUUAUUGAGCCACUAAAACAAUAAAAGAGAGAAAAUAUCCUUUCUUCACACAGAAAUUGCGAAAAGAAAAGAGGGAUCUUUCAGUAGAAUAAUAUUUGCAAGCUACUUUUAAAGGUAACUGAAAGGUGAGGCAUCAUCUUAAGAAAAGAGAUUGUAGCAUAUUAGAAAAACCAGAUAGUACUGAUUUGUGAAUUCUAAAGAAUUAAGGAUAUAGAUAAGUGAUCUACUAAC